This 262-nucleotide ribosomal RNA is filed under the name uncultured bacterium. Its description in RNAcentral is "partial 16S ribosomal RNA". It matches the Rfam family "Bacterial small subunit ribosomal RNA", at positions 92 to 354 of the family's 1533-position model. The record is from RNAcentral.
UUAGUGGCGGACGGGUGAGUAACGCGUGGAAAACCUGCCGUAUACUGGGGGAUAACACUUAGAAAUAGGUGCUAAUACCGCAUAAGCGCACAGCUUCGCGUGAAGCGGUGUGAAAAACUCUGGUGGUAUACGAUGGUUCCGCGUCUGAUUAGCUAGUUGGUGGGGUAAUGGCCUACCAAGGCAACGAUCAGUAGCCGGCCUGAGAGGGUGAACGGCCACAUUGGGACUGAGACACGGCCCAAACUCCUACGGAAGGCAGCAG